UACGUAGGGUGCAAGCGUUGUCCGGAAUCACUGGGCGUAAAGGGCGCGUAGGUGGUUUGAUAAGGGUGUGGUGAAAGUCCGGAGCUCAACUCCGGAUCUGCCGUGCCGACUGUCAAACUCGAGGGCUGUAGAGGCAGACGGAAUUCCGGGUGUAGCGGUGGAAUGCGCAGAUAUCAGGAGGAACACCGGUGGCGAAGGCGGGUCUCUGGGCAGUAACUGACGCUGAGGAGCGAAAGCGUGGGGAGCGAACAGG
This 253-nucleotide ribosomal RNA is filed under the name uncultured bacterium. Its description in RNAcentral is "partial 16S ribosomal RNA". It matches the Rfam family "Bacterial small subunit ribosomal RNA", at positions 524 to 776 of the family's 1533-position model. The record is from RNAcentral.